Molecule: long non-coding RNA, 1632 nt
Filed under: Marmota monax (woodchuck)
Lineage: Eukaryota; Metazoa; Chordata; Mammalia; Rodentia; Sciuridae
Source: RNAcentral
CCCAGGUGAAAGGGUCCCUUGUGGAAGCCAGGGGAUGUCACAACACUCCUGCCUCUGUGCCCUCCUGCUCGCUGUAGUGCCCAUCCAGGUCACUUUGCAGUUGGCCUUUCAGGGAUCCUCGUGAGUGACAGCAUUGUGUUCCACUGACACCGUCACCUAAGCCUCACCUGCAAGAGGAGAAAUAUGCUCAAGAGAAAGAUGUGGAACCACAUAGCCAGUGUGGAGCACACACUGUGGGGCGUCCAGGACCAAGCAGAGCCACCAACAGAGAUGGACGGAGGCAGACAGGGUGGAGCAGGGCUCCCUCCUCUGGAGGGAAGUCCUCAGCAUGGCUUUCAGUCCUGCAAGCAGCACCUUUCGAGCUGCGGGUGGUUCCAAUGCUUUUAAAGAGAAAAGACGUGCAGACACCCCCAGAUAAGGUACAGUUACAAUGCUUUUAUCAUAUUACUUAAAAAAUAUGUGCAUAAGACAAAAUUUGAAGCCUUCGGCCCUUGAGGCUCUUAUAUAAUAAACUAUAACAAAUUUUAAUUUUUAAUUUUAUGUGUCAACCUAAUUGUGUCAUUGUACCAACAAUUGGUCAAACACCAAUCUAGAUGUCUGUGAAGAUGUUAUGUAGAUAAGAGUAGCAUUUACAUUAGUGACUAUGACUAAAGCAGGUAGCCCUGUGGUGUGGUGGGCCUCUUCCAAUGUUGAAGGCCUUGGGAUGAAAAGCCAUUGAGUUCCUCCCCUCAUUAAGGAAUUCUGCCACAGGUGGCCUUCCCACUUCAGUGGCCACACCAGCCUUCUCUGGGCUCCAGCCUGCCAGCCUGCCCUGCAGAUUUUGGAUUUUCCCAUCUCUAAAAUCAUGUUAGCCAAUUCUGUAAAAUCAAUUCAUUUUUUUCUCUCUCCCCCUAUAUGUAUAUAUGUAUUUUUUUAUGAACAUCUCUAAUGUAAUCUGAUAGAAAUUGUUAGCUCUGUGGAGUGGCUGAUAAUAGGUUUCAUAGAUGGAAAGAUGACUUCUCAGGACUGUUUUGAUAUUUUAUCUGUUUCUGCAUUUUAUUUUAAAAACUCUAAUGCCAAGAAAGGUUGUUUAUAUAAACACAUUGUACAAAACAGUAUAAAUAAUUUUAAGCUUUUUUUGUAAGUCCUGGAAAAUUACUAUUUACACUUAAUUAAAAUCUCACUAAUGAUUCAGUUGAGGAUUCUUUGAAGUCAUAUUGUUCACUGGAGAAGGAGAUCAGCAUUUGGACUUUACUGAAACUCAGACAAGACCUCAUCUAACUCAGAGUCUCAAUGCAGCCGGGAGCCGAGCACUCUCCUGGGGACAGCAUACACACAGGACGCUCCAUGUGACCUAGAACUCUGCUCCUGCUGUCAUGAGCUGUGGUUGCUCAGCUCCUCCGCACUGUGUUAAGCUGCUUCAGACUCUUCAUCUGUACUGUCUGCCACAACGCCUCGACUUCACAAAUGCAAAUCAGGCGCUGAGAAUUCCCCCAUUCUUACUCAUAAGCUUAUCUACCAGAUCAUCCAGAACCUACUUUCAAAAACAAUUAUUAUCAAAAUGAAAAUGCAACAUAUUUUAAAUACUCAUGUUUCUUUGUACGUAAAAAGCUCUUAAAUUUUAGUGAAGAGCUGUGUGCUGUCGCAUUCCUG